RNAcentral lists this ribosomal RNA (253 nucleotides) under uncultured bacterium. Its description in RNAcentral is "partial 16S ribosomal RNA". It matches the Rfam family "Bacterial small subunit ribosomal RNA", at positions 524 to 776 of the family's 1533-position model. The record is from RNAcentral.
UACAGAGGGGGCAAGCGUUGUUCGGAAUUACUGGGCGUAAAGGGCGCGUAGGCGGCCCGCUAAGUCGAACGUGAAAUCCCCGGGCUCAACCCGGGAACUGCGUCCGAUACUGGUGGGCUCGAAUCCGGGAGAGGGAUGCGGAAUUCCAGGUGUAGCGGUGAAAUGCGUAGAUAUCGGGAGGAACACCAGUGGCGAAGGCGACUACCUGGCCCAUUCUUGACGCUGAGGCGCGAAAGCUAGGGGAGCGAACGGG